GUCUACGGCCAUGCCACCCUGAACAAGCCUGAUCCCAUCUGAUCUUGGAAUUGGAAGCUAAGCAGGUUUGGGCCUGGUUAGUACUUAGAUGGAAGACCACCUAGGAAGACCAGGUGCUGUAGGCA
RNAcentral lists this ribosomal RNA (125 nucleotides) under Pteropus alecto (black flying fox). The record is from RNAcentral. Lineage: Eukaryota; Metazoa; Chordata; Mammalia; Chiroptera; Pteropodidae.